This 87-nucleotide transfer RNA is filed under the name Gammaproteobacteria bacterium. Its description in RNAcentral is "tRNA-Leu". It matches the Rfam family "tRNA". From Rfam's summary of the family: Transfer RNA (tRNA) molecules are approximately 80 nucleotides in length. Their secondary structure includes four short double-helical elements and three loops (D, anti-codon, and T loops). RNAcentral also lists the same sequence under 1 other name. Lineage: Bacteria; Pseudomonadati; Pseudomonadota; Gammaproteobacteria. The record is from RNAcentral.
GCCGGUGUGGCGAAACUGGUAGACGCACGGGACUCAAAAUCCCGCGGCCGCGAGGUCGUGUCAGUUCGAGUCUGACCACCGGCACCA